This 167-nucleotide ribosomal RNA is filed under the name uncultured bacterium. RNAcentral's name for it is "partial 16S ribosomal RNA". It matches the Rfam family "Bacterial small subunit ribosomal RNA", at positions 1326 to 1500 of the family's 1533-position model. The record is from RNAcentral.
UUGGAUUCGCUAGUAAUCGCGCAUCAGCCAUGGCGCGGUGAAUACGUUCCCGGGCCUUGUACACACCGCCCGUCAAGCCAUGGGAGCCGGGGGUGCCUGAAGUUCGUGACCGCAAGGAGCGACCUAGGGCAAAACUGGUGACUGGGGCUAAGUCGUAACAAGGUAUC